Molecule: unclassified non-coding RNA, 212 nt
Filed under: root metagenome
Also listed under: 1 other name
Description: partial contains small subunit ribosomal RNA, internal transcribed spacer 1, and 5.8S ribosomal RNA
Source: RNAcentral
UCUCCGUUGGUGAACCAGCGGAGGGAUCAUUACCGAGUUUACAACUCCCAAACCCCUGUGAACAUACCUUAAUGUUGCCUCGGCGGAUCAGCCCGCGCCCCGUAAAACGGGACGGCCCGCCAGAGGACCCAAACUCUAAUGUUUCUUAUUGUAACUUCUGAGUAAAACAAACAAAUAAAUCAAAACUUUCAACAACGGAUCUCUUGGUUCUG